AACACGUGGUAACCUACCUAUAAGACUGGAAUAACUUCGGGAAACCGGAGCUAAUGCCGGAUAACAUUUGGAACCGCAUGGUUCUAAAGUAAAAGAUGGUUUUGCUAUCACUUAUAGAUGGACCCGCGCCGUAUUAGCUAGUUGGUAAGGUAACGGCUUACCAAGGCAACGAUACGUAGCCGACCUGAGAGGGUGAUCGGCCACACUGGAACUGAGACACGGUCCAGACUCCUACGGGAGGCAGCAGUAGGGAAUCUUCCGCAAUGGACGAAAGUCUGACGGAGCAACGCCGCGUGAGUGAUGAAGGUUUUCGGAUCGUAAAACUCUGUUAUUAGGGAAGAACAAAUGUGUAAGUAACUGUGCACAUCUUGACGGUACCUAAUCAGAAAGCCACGGCUAACUACGUGCCAGCAGCCGCGGUAAUACGUAGGUGGCAAGCGUUAUCCGGAAUUAUUGGGCGUAAAGCGCGCGUAGGCGGUUUCUUAAGUCUGAUGUGAAAGCCCACGGCUCAACCGUGGAGGGUCAUUGGAAACUGGGAAACUUGAGUACAGAAGAGGAAAGUGGAAUUCCAUGUGUAGCGGUGAAAUGCGCAGAGAUAUGGAGGAACACCAGUGGCGAAGGCGACUUUCUGGUCUGUAACUGACGCUGAUGUGCGAAAGCGUGGGGAUCAAACAGGAUUAGAUACCCUGGUAGUCCACGCCGUAAACGAUGAGUGCUAAGUGUUAGGGGGUUUCCGCCCCUUAGUGCUGCAUAACG
RNAcentral lists this ribosomal RNA (756 nucleotides) under Staphylococcus sp. G5III. RNAcentral's name for it is "bacterial SSU rRNA". It matches the Rfam family "Bacterial small subunit ribosomal RNA", at positions 112 to 857 of the family's 1533-position model. Lineage: Bacteria; Bacillati; Bacillota; Bacilli; Caryophanales; Staphylococcaceae. The record is from RNAcentral.